UACCACCAGGUCCAAAACCAUGGCCCAUCAUUGGCAAUUUGAACCUACUUGGUCCUAUACCACAUCAAUCUUUUGACUUGCUUUCCAAAAAAUAUGGAGAGUUGAUGCUGCUGAAAUUUGGCUCCAGGCCAGUUCUUGUUGCUUCAUCUGCUGAAAUGGCAAAACAGUUUUUAAAAGUACAUGAUGCUAAUUUCGCCUCCCGUCCUAUGCUAGCUGGUGGAAAGUAUACAAGCUAUAACUAUUGUGACAUGACAUGGGCACCCUAUGGUCCCUAUUGGCGCCAAGCACGACGAAUUUACCUUAACCAGAUAUUUACUCCGAAAAGGCUAGACUCGUUCGAGUACAUUCGUGUUGAAGAAAGGCAGGCCUUGAUUUCCCAGCUGAAUUCCCUUGCUGGAAAGCCAUUUUUUCUCAAAGACCAUUUGUCGCGAUUUAGCCUCUGCAGCAUGACAAGGAUGGUUUUGAGCAACAAGUAUUUUGGUGAAUCAACAGUUAGAGUAGAAGAUUUGCAGUACCUGGUAGAUCAAUGGUUCUUACUUAAUGGUGCUUUCAACAUUGGAGAUUGGAUUCCAUGGCUCAGCUUCUUGGACCUACAAGGCUAUGUGAAACAAAUGAAGGCUUUGAAAAGAACUUUUGAUAAGUUCCACAACAUUGUGCUAGAUGAUCACAGGGCUAAGAAGAAUGCAGAGAAGAACUUUGUCCCAAAAGACAUGGUUGAUGUCUUGUUGAAGAUGGCUGAAGAUCCUAAUCUGGAAGUCAAACUCACUAAUGACUGUGUCAAAGGGUUAAUGCAGGUUAGUUCCUACUAAGGUUAUAAAAAUAAUUUCUCAAGAUUUUCUCUUGUUUUAGACAAAAAUGCUAACCUUGUUAAACUAUGGCAGGAUUUACUAACUGGAGGAACAGAUAGCUUAACAGCAGCAGUGCAAUGGGCAUUUCAAGAACUUCUUAGACAGCCAAGGGUUAUUGAGAAGGCAACCGAA
This 980-nucleotide long non-coding RNA is filed under the name Nicotiana tabacum (common tobacco). Its description in RNAcentral is "long non-coding RNA (NTAB_LNC008000)". Lineage: Eukaryota; Viridiplantae; Streptophyta; Magnoliopsida; Solanales; Solanaceae. The record is from RNAcentral.